GUGCUUGCUUCGGCAGCACAUAUACUAAAAUUGGAACGAGAUUAGCAUGGCCCCUGCUCAAGGAUGACACACAAAUUCGUGAAGUAUUCCUUUUUUUU
This 98-nucleotide small nuclear RNA is filed under the name Castor canadensis (American beaver). Lineage: Eukaryota; Metazoa; Chordata; Mammalia; Rodentia; Castoridae. The record is from RNAcentral.